This 502-nucleotide ribosomal RNA is filed under the name uncultured bacterium. Its description in RNAcentral is "bacterial SSU rRNA". It matches the Rfam family "Bacterial small subunit ribosomal RNA", at positions 28 to 531 of the family's 1533-position model. The record is from RNAcentral.
GAUGAACGCUGGCGGCGUGCCUCAAACAUGCAAGUCGAGCGGGGCUAUGUAAUAUCGCAAGGUAGAACAUAGCCUAGCGGCGAACGGGUGAGUAACACGUGGGUAACCUGCCUGGAAGACAGGGAUAACGAUUCGAAAGGGUCGCUAAUACCUGAUAAUAUCCUUUCAUCGCAUGGUGAUAGGAAGAAAGGGGAAACCCGCUUUCAGAUGGGCCCGCGUCCCAUCAGCUAGUUGGUAAGGUAAAGGCUUACCAAGGCGACGACGGGUAGCCGGUCUGAGAGGAUGUACGGCCACACUGGGGACUGAGAUACGGCCCAGACUCCUACGGGAGGCAGCAGUUGGGAAUCUUAGGCAAUGGACGAAAGUCUGACCUAGCGACGCCGCGUGAGGGAAGAAGGCCUUCGGGUUGUAAACCUCUGUCAUGGGGAAGAAGUAAGUGACGGUACCCCAAGAGGAAGCCCUGCUAACUACGUGCCAGCACGCCGCGGUAAUAGUACUCUAU